RNAcentral lists this ribosomal RNA (570 nucleotides) under uncultured eukaryote. Its description in RNAcentral is "bacterial SSU rRNA". It matches the Rfam family "Eukaryotic small subunit ribosomal RNA", at positions 4 to 569 of the family's 1831-position model. The record is from RNAcentral.
CUGGUUGAUCCUGCCAGUAGUCAUAUGCUUGUCUCAAAGACUAAGCCAUGCAUGUCUAAGUAUAAACACCUUUAUACUGCGAAACUGCGAACGGCUCAUUAUAUCAGUUAUAAUCUACUUGAUCGUAUCCUCUUACUUGGAUAACCGUAGUAAUUCUAGAGCUAAUACAUGCAAAAGAUCCCGACUGGUGACGGAAGGGAUGUAUUUAUUAGGUCCAAAAUCAAUACCGCUUCACGGCGGGUCCAUUGAUGAUUCAUAAUAACUAAACGAAGCGCAGGGCUUGUCUCGGCGCUGAUACAAACGAGUUUCUGCCCUAUCAACUUUCGAUGGUAGUAUAGGGGACUACCAUGGUCGUAACGGGUAACGGGGAAUUAGGGUUCGAUUCCGGAGAAGGAGCCUGAGAAACGGCUACUACUUCCAAGGAAGGCAGCAGGCGCGCAAAUUACCCAAUGUUAAUACGAUGAGGUAGUGACGAGAAAUAACGAUGCCGGUCCUUAGGGAUUGGUAAUCGUCAUGAGUACAAUGUAAAUAUGCUUAACGAGGAACAAUUGGAGGGAAAGUCUGGUGCCA